AGUGAACGCUGGCGGUAGGCCUAACACAUGCAAGUCGAACGGCGGCACAGUAAGAGCUUGCUCUUACGGGUGGUGAGUGGCGGACGGGUGAGGAAUACAUCGGAAUCUACUUUUUCGUGGGGGAUAACGUAGGGAAACUUACGCUAAUACCGCAUACGACCUACGGGUGAAAGCAGGGGAUCUUCGGACCUUGCGCGAUUGAAUGAGCCGAUGUCGGAUUAGCUAGUUGGCGGGGUAAAGGCCCACCAAGGCGACGAUCCGUAGCUGGUCUGAGAGGAUGAUCAGCCACACUGGAACUGAGACACGGUCCAGACUCCUACGGGAGGCAGCAGUGGGGAAUAUUGGACAAUGGGCGCAAGCCUGAUCCAGCCAUACCGCGUGGGUGAAGAAGGCCUUCGGGUUGUAAAGCCCUUUUGUUGGGAAAGAAAAGCAGCAGGUUAAUACCCCGCUGUUCUGACGGUACCCAAAGAAUAAGCACCGGCUAACUUCGUG
This 492-nucleotide ribosomal RNA is filed under the name uncultured bacterium. RNAcentral describes it as "partial 16S ribosomal RNA". It matches the Rfam family "Bacterial small subunit ribosomal RNA", at positions 29 to 507 of the family's 1533-position model. The record is from RNAcentral.